Molecule: long non-coding RNA, 1246 nt
Organism: Schistocerca nitens (vagrant locust)
Lineage: Eukaryota; Metazoa; Arthropoda; Insecta; Orthoptera; Acrididae
Exons: 4
Source: RefSeq, a predicted model, not a curated record
CGCGCGUACGCACGCACGCAUGCAACUACCAACAGAGCUAUCCAAGCCUGAGUCACAACCUGACCUUACAGCUUUACUUCCACCACUACUGCCUCUCGCACCUUCCAUACUUCACAGAAGUUGCACUCCAUACCUUGCAAGAUGAGCACUGCCGGAAGAAAGAAUGUUGUGGAGAAAUGGCUCAGCCACAUUCUAGGGGAUUGUUUUAAAAAGAAAUUCCUCUGCAGCAGAGUGUGCACCGUCGAAACUUGCUGGUGGAUACCGCAAAUGGUAGAGGACUUUCCUGUGAAAAGUAAAGGCCACAGAUGCAAGUUCUGGUCCAGUAGUCAGUUUUAAUCUGCGAGGAAGUUUCAAAUCAGCACACACUCUGCUCUGCAGAGUGAAAUUACAUUCUGGCUGACAGCAGUUCUUUCUGUGCACUGUGAACUCUCUGCCACACAGUGCAAGAUAGCUUUCUGAGUAUAAAUGUAGAUGUACAUAGUAUUUUCAGAAAUAAUAAUAGAUUAAGUUUUAAUAUUAGCUGUGUAUUUUUCAUCUAUUACUGUACCAUUCACAUACAUUGUCUGUGUGAACUGAUUAUUGCUUGUAUUUCAGUCCAGUUAAGAAAUGGAAACAACAAUAAGCAGGUGGAUUGAACUCAUCUAGGGGUGAGAAGUCAUGUACCCACAUGACGUGUACCACAAAUCCAGUUUCAGCUCACCGCAGGUCUGGGAAGGAAGUUUUAGAGUGCUGCAGAGUUUAGUAUGGAAAAUAACCACAUAAUGUUCUUUGUGAACAUGUGUGCUGUGGAACUGAAAACACUCAGCAAGCAAGAUCUUAAAGUGCUGUACAUCUCCAACAGUUUUGUAGAGUUGAAGACGGCAGAGAAAAGGAAAGUACUGGAAGUUCUGCUUCCAGUAAAGGAAAUAAUUGGUCACUGGCUGAUAUUUUAACAUUUUUAAACAAAAUGGAUCACAAGCGAGUAAGUACAUCCAACGUUGAGGCAGAUGAAGUGCAAAGCCCACAAUAUGAUGGUGAACUGAGUAACAGAGAGGUGUGCCAGACAUUGCCAACUUUGUCAGAAAAAGAAAUUUUUUUUCCGAAGACGUGGAAGACAUCGCAUCAUUCAGACCACCACAGAGACCGAAACGCCAGCUUAUUAAUGCAUUUAAUGUUGCAAUAAGUGUUAAUUUCAUAUUUUUGUAUUGUGCAAUUUUAAUUUUUUACACUGUAUGCAUUAUUAAUAAAGCAAUAACACAUCAACAAA